Molecule: long non-coding RNA, 932 nt
Organism: Aphis gossypii (cotton aphid)
Lineage: Eukaryota; Metazoa; Arthropoda; Insecta; Hemiptera; Aphididae
Exons: 7
Source: RefSeq, a predicted model, not a curated record
AUUUAAUUUGGUGGAUUUAGCUGGAUCUGAAAAUAUUUCAAACACGACAGAUGACAAAAAGACGUUGAUCGAGUCUCGAUCAAUAAAUUCUUCACUACAUCAUCUGAACCAUGUUAUACGUUCACUAGCAAAUCCUAAAGUAUACGUGCCUUAUCGGAAUUCUACCAUUACAUCGGUACUUAAAGAUUCACUAGGUACUGAAUGUGCUACCGCGAUGAUCAGCACUGUAGUAUUGAAUCACCGAUGCAUCGCAGAGUCGAUCUCUACUUGCCAAAAUUCUAAAGAAGUAUCGGCAAUAAAAUACCGAGUCCCAGAAAAAAAAAAGAUAAAUGAGAAAAAACAGUACAAGGUUAUAGAGUUAAAUGACGUUUUAUUAAAAGAAAAAGAACAUGACAUGUCUGGAGGUUUUCAUAGCAAAGUGAAAGAAAACAAGAUAGUCUUAGAGGAUAAAACAACCAAUACAGAGAACAACGAGUAUUUGAUAAAUGAGUCAAUUGACACACCCGCGUGUUAUAUGACAAGUUAAAAGACGAUGGAAUUUGUAUGAAUGUAACGUAUGACGUUCAUGAUGAUCGAUAUAAACUGGAUGAUUUUGCCAUCGGUGACGGUUUCUGCGUUCCGGUGGUCGACGUGACGGCUCUACCCGUUAUGGAAUUCGGCGAUGGAAUUAAUGAUACUCAUGAUAAUUCGAAGAUGACUAAGGUUCACGACAUGUUACCACUCUUUGUGGAAUGCGGGAUCGGAACUGAGGAUAUCUUAGUUACCCAGUCAGAACAUGAUGAUAAAAACAUAUAUACGCCAUUAAAAAACUCGUUAAUUAAUCGAGCCUCUAAUUUUUACUGGGGACAUUAUAAAAUGAUUCAAUUAAUAUUGAUAACGAUAAUUUUAAUGUUGAAUUCGCAUUUUUUUAUAUCGACAGUAGGAUUUGACAU